RNAcentral lists this ribosomal RNA (269 nucleotides) under uncultured prokaryote. Its description in RNAcentral is "partial 16S ribosomal RNA". It matches the Rfam family "Bacterial small subunit ribosomal RNA", at positions 524 to 792 of the family's 1533-position model. The record is from RNAcentral.
UACGGAGGGUGCAAGCGUUAAUCGGAAUUACUGGGCGUAAAGCGCUCGUAGGCGGUUUGUUAAGUCGGAUGUGAAAGCCCCGGGCUCAACCUGGGAACUGCAUUCGAUACUGGCAAACUAGAGUAUAGAAGAGGCAAGUGGAAUUCCGGGUGUAGCGGUGAAAUGCGUAGAUAUCCGGAGGAACAUCAGUGGCGAAGGCGACUUGCUGGUCUAAUACUGACGCUGAGGAGCGAAAGCGUGGGGAGCAAACGGGAUUAGAUACCCGCGUA